RNAcentral lists this ribosomal RNA (597 nucleotides) under uncultured bacterium. RNAcentral describes it as "bacterial SSU rRNA". It matches the Rfam family "Bacterial small subunit ribosomal RNA", at positions 112 to 704 of the family's 1533-position model. The record is from RNAcentral.
AAUACAUCGGAACGUGCCUAGUAGUGGGGGAUAACUACUCGAAAGAGUGGCUAAUACCGCAUGAGAUCUACGGAUGAAAGCAGGGGAUCGCAAGACCUUGUGCUACUAGAGCGGCCGAUGGCAGAUUAGGUAGUUGGUGGGAUAAAAGCUUACCAAGCCGACGAUCUGUAGCUGGUCUGAGAGGACGAUCAGCCACACUGGGACUGAGACACGGCCCAGACUCCUACGGGAGGCAGCAGUGGGGAAUAUUGGACAAUGGGGGGAACCCUGAUCCAGCCAUGCCGCGUGUGUGAAGAAGGCCUUUUGGUUGUAAAGCACUUUAAGCGAGGAGGAGGCUACCUAGAUUAAUACUUUAGGAUAGUGGACGUUACUCGCAGAAUAAGCACCGGCUAACUCUGUGCCAGCAGCCGCGGUAAUACAGAGGGUGCGAGCGUUAAUCGGAUUUACUGGGCGUAAAGCGUGCGCAGGCGGUUUUGUAAGACAGAGGUGAAAUCCCCGGGCUCAACCUGGGAACUGCCUUUGUGACUGCAAGGCUAGAGUACGGCAGAGGGGGAUGGAAUUCCGCGUGUAGCAGUGAAAUGCGUAGAUAUGCGGAGG